RNAcentral lists this ribosomal RNA (466 nucleotides) under uncultured bacterium. Its description in RNAcentral is "partial 16S ribosomal RNA". It matches the Rfam family "Bacterial small subunit ribosomal RNA", at positions 28 to 505 of the family's 1533-position model. The record is from RNAcentral.
GACGAACGCUGGCGGCGUGCUUAACACAUGCAAGUCGAACGGAAAGGCCCUGCUUUUGUGGGGUGCUCGAGUGGCGAACGGGUGAGUAACACGUGAGUAACCUGCCCUUGACUUUGGGAUAACUUCAGGAAACUGGGGCUAAUACCGGAUAGGAGCUCCUGCUGCAUGGUGGGGGUUGGAAAGUUUCGGCGGUUGGGGAUGGACUCGCGGCUUAUCAGCUUGUUGGUGGGGUAGUGGCUUACCAAGGCUUUGACGGGUAGCCGGCCUGAGAGGGUGACCGGCCACAUUGGGACUGAGAUACGGCCGAGACUCCUAGGGGAGGGAGCAGUGGGGAAUAGUGCACAAGGGGCGGAAGCCUGAUGCAGCAACGCCGCGUGCGGGAUGAGGGCCUGCGGGGUGUAAACCGCUUGCGUCUGAGACGAAGCGUGAGAGACGGAAAGGGGUAGAGAAGCAGCGGCAAAAUACG